Drosophila nasuta is the source of this 1673-nucleotide long non-coding RNA. RefSeq lists it as uncharacterized. The transcript is spliced from 7 exons. Lineage: Eukaryota; Metazoa; Arthropoda; Insecta; Diptera; Drosophilidae. The record is from RefSeq and is a predicted model, not a curated record.
AUAAUAUAAACUAUAUUUAAACACUCAGUACACUGUGAUUCUAUAAAAAGAUUACAUUUCUUUUAUAAAAUUUUUUAUGAAAAUCCACUUUUAAGAGUUGAUUCUAAUAAAUUUGAUAGAUCGAAAUCAUUAUGUGCAAUUGUCAAUCAUUGGCUUGGCUGGAUCAGCUUUGCUGCAGUCUUCGAACUAAAAUUAAGAUAUUCUGUGCUUGGACUAUUUUACAUUCCAUAAUUUUUUUCGGUGGCUUUGGGUAUUCAGCAUUUACAGAAUGCAAAUACGAUGAACCUUGCAAAGCUAAUCUGUAUAAGGGCUUUUGCUUUCUGUUAUCUGUAAUCCAUGUGGCUGCAGGGAUAAUUAUGUUAAUAAGUUUUCUGUCACAAUAUCUCGGAACAGAAUUUAAAGAAUCAAUUUUUGUUUAGUGUCGCUCUGAGUACAUUAUUUCCUCUGGGAGCUCUACAUAAUUAUCCGUUGGUGUAUUUGAUUAUAUGUCAAGUUGUCUUCAUAGUAUUUGCAGUGAGAUAUAGUACUACAAUGAAACGAAAUCAAAACGUCGUGGACCCUGCAUAAAAUUUUGAAAAUUUGACAAAUUUUUGCUAAAUAAUAAUAGCAUAAACUUUUUAUAAGCAACUUAUCAAACCUGGUGCAAUUUUCAAGAUUGCUUCAUAAAUGAAAAUUCCACUUGGUCUGAUUAAUUUGCAUUUGCAAUUAAAUUUUAUUUGACAGUACAUUUUUUUGUAUUUUUGAGUGCAAAAUCAUUAUAUUUAAAAUUAAAUGUAGUAUAUGAUAAUCAAUCUUAGAAAAUUAACCUGACAUUCGCGAUCGUUAAUUUAUACGUAAUAAAAAUGAUCUGAUUAAUUUAGAACAGUUGAGUUUUUUAAUGCUUCGUUAUAAAUCAGAAAAAUGAUUCGCUUAGUACAGCUCAUUAACUACAAUAUUGAACUAGUUUAGAUCCAUCAAAAACUAAAUAUCUAUAAAACGUGGCAACAUUUUCGUAUAUCAUUCGUUUUGCUGCGUUUGAAAAGUUUCUGUAUUAUAUCCCAAAAUCGAUAUUGGUGCGAUUGAAUUGAUUAAAAAAAAAAAUUAAAUUAUAGUCCGUGUAAAUCGAGAAUGAAAUUAAAAUUGUACUGUCAGAAAUUUAUUCCUGACCUACUUCGUUAUCUAAACUUAACAUGGAAUGCGCCGGUUUUACACUGCGACGUCAGGCUAUAUUCUUUAGUAUUUGGACAAUUGUCCAUGGUGUGGUUCUGCUAAUUAUCCUGGGAACACUAAGUAUUAUUCAAUGGGAUAUAGAAAGUUUGAAAUACAAACGUAUCUAUCACUUGAUGCUUGUUGGUUUGUCAAUGGUACAUUUUAUGUCGGGUAUCUUGAUGUUAAUUGGUGUCUUAAAAAGUUUAAAGUAUAUAUAUAUACCUGGAUUUAUAUUAAGCUUUGUAAUGCCAAUUGUGACUGUGAAUUCGGUUCUAGUGUAUAUGAUAAUACUACAAUUUCUCUUUACGCUGCUCGCUUGCAGAUAUCUGUGUUUUGUGUGAGGCGUGAGUACCAAAUUUGAUAUAUUUUCGAAAUCCACUAACGAGUUGUUGAAUGUCAUAUGAAGACAAGCAAGAUUGUGUAAAUAUGUGAAUAUUUUGCAUUUAUGGGAAAUAUUCUAAUAAAAAUUUCAGUGAAAUUUGUCU